AGUGAACGCUGGCGGUAGGCCUAACACAUGCAAGUCGAACGGCAGCACAGUAAUAGCUUGCUCUUACGGGUGGCGAGUGGCGGACGGGUGAGGAAUACAUCGGAAUCUACUUUUUCGUGGGGGAUAACGUAGGGAAACUUACGCUAAUACCGCAUACGACCUACGGGUGAAAGCAGGGGAUCUUCGGACCUUGCGCGAUUGAAUGAGCCGAUGUCGGAUUAGCUAGUUGGCGGGGUAAAGGCCCACCAAGGCGACGAUCCGUAGCUGGUCUGAGAGGAUGAUCAGCCACACUGGAACUGAGACACGGUCCAGACUCCUACGGGAGGCAGCAGUGGGGAAUAUUGGAAAAUGGGCGCAAGCCUGAUCCAGCCAUACCGCGUGGGUGAAGAAGGCCUUCGGGUUGUAAAGCCCUUUUGUUGGGAAAGAAAAGCAGCAGGUUAAUACCCCGCUGUUCUGACGGUACCCAAAGAAUAAGCACCGGCUAACUUCGUG
Molecule: ribosomal RNA, 492 nt
Filed under: uncultured bacterium
Lineage: Bacteria
Description: partial 16S ribosomal RNA
Rfam family: Bacterial small subunit ribosomal RNA
Source: RNAcentral